UCGGGAAUUUUGGGCAAUGGGCGAAAGCCUGACCCAGCAACGCCGCGUGAGGGAUGAAGUAUUUCGGUAUGUAAACCUCGAAAGAAUGGGAAGAAUAAAUGACGGUACCAUUUAUAAGCUCCGGCUAGCUACGUGCCAGCAGCCGCGGUAAUACGUAGGGAGCAAGCGUUGUUCGGAUUUACUGGGCGUAAAGGGCGCGUAGGCGGCGCGGUAAGUCACUUGUGAAAUCUCUGAGCUUAACUCAGAACGGCCAAGUGAUACUGCUGUGCUAGAGUGCGGAAGAGGCAACCGGAAUUCUUGGUGUAGCGGUGAAAUGCGUAGAUAUCAAGAGGAACACCUGAGGCGAAGGCGGGUUGCUGGGCCGACACUGACGCUGAUGCGCGAAAGCCAGGGGAGCAAACG
RNAcentral lists this ribosomal RNA (402 nucleotides) under uncultured bacterium. Its description in RNAcentral is "bacterial SSU rRNA". It matches the Rfam family "Bacterial small subunit ribosomal RNA", at positions 355 to 774 of the family's 1533-position model. The record is from RNAcentral.